UGUGUAUCAGUACAUGGCAUAUCAAUAAGCGGAGGAAAAGAAAACUAACUAGGAUUCCCUCAGUAACGGCGAGUGAAGCGGGAAGAGCUCAAAUUUGAAAUCUUCAAGGUUUUACCUUGACGAAUUGUAGUUUAAAGAAGUGUUUUCUGUUGGAAUUUUGGUAAAAGUUCUUUGGAAAAAGACAUCAAAGAGGGUGAGAAUCCCGUAUUUGACCAUUAUUUCCAGCUUUGUGAUACACUUUCAAAGAGUCGGAUUGUUUGGGAAUGCAGUCCAAAAUGGGUGGUAAAUUUCAUCUAAAGCUAAAUAUUGGCGAGAGACCGAUAGCGAACAAGUACCGUGAGGGAAAGAUGAAAAGAACUUUGAAAAGAGAGUUAAACAGUACGUGAAAUUGUCAAAAGGGAAGCGUUUGACACCAGUGUUGUUUUCUCGAAAAUCAAUUAAAAAAUGAUGGAUUUUGUGUUGUAUUGACUUUAUCAGCUUUCUGCACUUUUUUCUUAGUCUUUUUUAAUGCACUUUUCGUUUAACAAGUCAACAUCAAUUUCUUUUGUUGUAAAAGAGUCAUUGGAAGGUGGCUUUCUUUUCGGAGAAAGUGUUUAUAGCCUUUGGCUUCUGCAAUCGGAGAGAUUGAGGUCUGCAGCGUAGAUCCUUCGGGAUUAGAUACAUUUGUGCUAAGUUAUAGCCUUUCAUAGACAACUUGUUGACUAUGAUCAGUCAUGUAGCUUACUCGCUUAUGCUAUUUUACCUACGCUUAGGAUGUUGACAGCAGUAUAGACUGU
RNAcentral lists this ribosomal RNA (776 nucleotides) under uncultured Neocallimastigales. Its description in RNAcentral is "partial large subunit ribosomal RNA". It matches the Rfam family "Eukaryotic large subunit ribosomal RNA", at positions 22 to 633 of the family's 3401-position model. The record is from RNAcentral. Lineage: Eukaryota; Fungi; Neocallimastigomycota; Neocallimastigomycetes; Neocallimastigales.